AGUUUGAUCCUGGCUCAGGAUGAACGCUAGCUACAGGCUUAACACAUGCAAGUCGAGGGGCAGCAUGAACUUAGCUUGCUAAGUUUGAUGGCGACCGGCGCACGGGUGAGUAACACGUAUCCAACCUGCCGAUGACUCGGGGAUAGCCUUUCGAAAGAAAGAUUAAUACCCGAUGGCAUAGUUCUUCCGCAUGGUGGAACUAUUAAAGAAUUUCGGUCAUCGAUGGGGAUGCGUUCCAUUAGGUUGUUGGCGGGGUAACGGCCCACCAAGCCUUCGAUGGAUAGGGGUUCUGAGAGGAAGGUCCCCCACAUUGGAACUGAGACACGGUCCAAACUCCUACGGGAGGCAGCAGUGAGGAAUAUUGGUCAAUGGACGAGAGUCUGAACCAGCCAAGUAGCGUGAAGGAUGACUGCCCUAUGGGUUGUAAACUUCUUUUAUACGGGAAUAAAGUGAGGCACGCGUGCCUUUUUGUAUGUACCGUAUGAAUAAGGAUCGGCUAACUCCGUGCCAGCAGCCGCGGUAAUACGGAGGAUCCGAGCGUUAUCCGGAUUUAUUGGGUUUAAAGGGAGCGUAGGCGGACGCUUAAGUCAGUUGUGAAAGUUUGCGGCUCAACCGUAAAAUUGCAGUUGAUACUGGGUGUCUUGAGUACAGUAGAGGCAGGCGGAAUUCGUGGUGUAGCGGUGAAAUGCUUAGAUAUCACGAAGAACUCCGAUUGCGAAGGCAGCUUGCUGGACUGUAACUGACGCUGAUGCUCGAAAGUGUGGGUAUCAAACAGGAUUAGAUACCCUGGUAGUCCACACAGUAAACGAUGAAUACUCGCUGUUUGCGAUAUACAGUAAGCGGCCAAGCGAAAGCGUUAAGUAUUCCACCUGGGGAGUACGCCGGCAACGGUGAAACUCAAAGGAAUUGACGGGGGCCCGCACAAGCGGAGGAACAUGUGGUUUAAUUCGAUGAUACGCGAGGAACCUUACCCGGGCUUGAAUUGCAACUGAAUGAUGUGGAGACAUGUCAGCCGCAAGGCAGUUGUGAAGGUGCUGCAUGGUUGUCGUCAGCUCGUGCCGUGAGGUGUCGGCUUAAGUGCCAUAACGAGCGCAACCCUUAUCGAUAGUUACCAUCAGGUGAUGCUGGGGACUCUGUCGAGACUGCCGUCGUAAGAUGUGAGGAAGGUGG
RNAcentral lists this ribosomal RNA (1170 nucleotides) under uncultured Bacteroides sp. RNAcentral describes it as "bacterial SSU rRNA". It matches the Rfam family "Bacterial small subunit ribosomal RNA", at positions 10 to 1176 of the family's 1533-position model. Lineage: Bacteria; Pseudomonadati; Bacteroidota; Bacteroidia; Bacteroidales; Bacteroidaceae. The record is from RNAcentral.